Non-coding RNA from Pelobates cultripes (western spadefoot toad), 183 nucleotides. The record is from the annotation of a GenBank genome assembly. Lineage: Eukaryota; Metazoa; Chordata; Amphibia; Anura; Pelobatidae.
ACUAGUCACACCCUUCCUCACUGUCACUAGUCACCCCCUCCCUCUCUCUGUCACUAGUCACCCCCUCCCUCACUCUUUCACUAGAGUGAGGGGGUGACUAGUGACAGAGUGAGGGGGGUGACAGAGUGAGGGGGUGACAGAGUGAGGGAAGGGGUGACUAGUGACAGAGGGAAGGAAGGGGUG